This is a long non-coding RNA of Etheostoma cragini (Arkansas darter), 201 nucleotides long. RefSeq lists it as uncharacterized. The record is from RefSeq and is a predicted model, not a curated record. NCBI's taxonomy places the organism in Eukaryota, Metazoa, Chordata, Actinopteri, Perciformes, Percidae. The transcript is spliced from 3 exons.
UUAACCGAGCGAGUGUGUCUGUGUGUUUCUGCUGAAGCCCCGACGUGGAUUUACUGUGCGCGUGGCCGUCUGGAGCGCGAGGAGGAGUCCAUGCGGACCGGAGCGACGCAUCCAUGAAGCAGGACAUCAUGGCGGAGGGUCCCCGCUGCAAGAGGCGAAAGCAGGCCAACCCCCGGAGAAAGCACGCAGUGCAGAACUAUG